AUUGAACGCUAGCGGCAGGCCUAACACAUGCAAGUCGAACGAGUGGCGGACGGGUGAGUCAUGUCUGGGAAACUGCCUGAUGGAGGGGGAUCACUACUGGAAACGGUAGCUAAUACCGCAUACCAUCAGAUGUGCCCAGAUGGGAUUAGCUAGUUGGUGGGGUAACGGCUCACCAAGGCGACGAUCCGUAGCUGGUUGGAGAGGAUGACCAGCCACACUGGAACUGAUAAAGGGUCCAGACGCCUACGGUAGGCAGCAGUGGGGAAUAUUGUACAAGGGGCGAAAGCCUGAUGCAGCCAUGCCGCGUGUAUGAAGAAGGCCUUCGGGUUGUAAAGUACUUUCAGCGGGGAGGCGUUACCCGCAGAAGAAGCACCGGCUAACUCCGUGCCAGCAGCCGCGGUAAUAC
This 406-nucleotide ribosomal RNA is filed under the name uncultured bacterium. RNAcentral's name for it is "partial 16S ribosomal RNA". It matches the Rfam family "Bacterial small subunit ribosomal RNA", at positions 30 to 526 of the family's 1533-position model. The record is from RNAcentral.